This 1343-nucleotide ribosomal RNA is filed under the name uncultured bacterium. Its description in RNAcentral is "16S ribosomal RNA". It matches the Rfam family "Bacterial small subunit ribosomal RNA", at positions 28 to 1378 of the family's 1533-position model. The record is from RNAcentral.
GACGAACGCUGGCGGCGUGCUUAACACGUGCAAGUCGAACGGAAAGGCCCUGCUUUUGUGGGGUGCUCGAGUGGCGAACGGGUGAGUAACACGUGAGUAACCUGCCCUUGACUUUGGGAUAACUUCAGGAAACUGGGGCUAAUACCGGAUAGGAGCUCCUGCUGCAUGGUGGGGGUUGGAAAGUUUCGGCGGUUGGGGAUGGACUCGCGGCUUAUCAGCUUGUUGGUGGGGUAGUGGCUUACCAAGGCUUUGACGGGUAGCCGGCCUGAGAGGGUGACCGGCCACAUUGGGACUGAGAUACGGCCCAGACUCCUACGGGAGGCAGCAGUGGGGAAUAUUGCACAAUGGGCGGAAGCCUGAUGCAGCAACGCCGCGUGCGGGAUGACGGCCUUCGGGUUGUAAACCGCUUUCGCCUGUGACGAAGCGUGAGUGACGGUAAUGGGUAAAGAAGCACCGGCUAACUACGUGCCAGCAGCCGCGGUGAUACGUAGGGUGCGAGCGUUGUCCGGAUUUAUUGGGCGUAAAGGGCUCGUAGGUGGUUGAUCGCGUCGGAAGUGUAAUCUUGGGGCUUAACCCUGAGCGUGCUUUCGAUACGGGUUGACUUGAGGAAGGUAGGGGAGAAUGGAAUUCCUGGUGGAGCGGUGGAAUGCGCAGAUAUCAGGAGGAACACCAGUGGCGAAGGCGGUUCUCUGGGCCUUUCCUGACGCUGAGGAGCGAAAGCGUGGGGAGCGAACAGGCUUAGAUACCCUGGUAGUCCACGCUGUAAACGGUGGGUACUAGGUGUGGGGUCCAUUCCACGGGUUCCGUGCCGUAGCUAACGCUUUAAGUACCCCGCCUGGGGAGUACGGCCGCAAGGCUAAAACUCAAAGGAAUUGACGGGGCCCCGCACAAGCGGCGGAGCAUGCGGAUUAAUUCGAUGCAACGCGUAGAACCUUACCUGGGUUUGACAUGGAUCGGGAGCGCUCAGAGAUGGGUGUGCCUCUUUUGGGGUCGGUUCACAGGUGGUGCAUGGCUGUCGUCAGCUCGUGUCGUAAGAUGUUGGGUUAAGUCCCGCAACGAGCGCAACCCUUGUUCACUGUUGCCAGCACGUUAUGGUGGGGACUCAGUGGAGACCGCCGGGGUCAACUCGGAGGAAGGUGGGGAUGACGUCAAGUCAUCAUGCCCCUUAUGUCCAGGGCUUCACGCAUGCUACAAUGGCUGGUACAGAGAGUGGCGAGCCUGUGAGGGUGAGCGAAUCUCGGAAAGCCGGUCUCAGUUCGGAUUGGGGUCUGCAACUCGACCUCAUGAAGUCGGAGUCGCUAGUAAUCGCAGAUCAGCAACGCUGCGGUGAAUACGUUCCCGGG